Molecule: RNA transcript, 4301 nt
Organism: Penaeus monodon (black tiger shrimp)
Lineage: Eukaryota; Metazoa; Arthropoda; Malacostraca; Decapoda; Penaeidae
Gene name: arrestin domain-containing protein 3-like
Exons: 14
Source: RefSeq, a predicted model, not a curated record
CGGGGUCAGAUUUGUGGCUUGAGAGUAGAGCGACUCAUUCAUGCUCCAGAUGCUUUAGGAUUUGUCUACACCUGUGCAAAGAGGCAGCAAUUUGCCUUAUUUCGGACACAAUACUUCAUUGGCUGUUAAAAGUGCAUCCACAAUGCCCACUGGAAUAUCAAUAGAAUUUGAUAACUCAAAAGCUGUGUUCUUUUCGGGACAGUCGGUAACAGGACGAGUUAGGGUUACCUGCGACAAACCAAAGUACUGUCGAGCAAUUGAGGUAGAGUUUCAAGGGUAUGGCAAAGUCCACUGGACAGAAAGAAGCAAAACUCAGAGGAAUGGCAAACAAAGAACAAAGACUGUCCAUUUUAAAAGUAAUGAGAGUUAUUACUUAAUGUCGUACAUCGUGUGGGGUAAUGGCACCACAGAGUCAGAGCUACCCCCAGGUACACACCUCUUCAAUUUCUCAUUCCUCCUUCCCCAUGGAAUUCCUUCGUCCUUUGAAUCACACAUCGGCAAAGUGCGUCACCAGUGCAAGGCGAAGAUGGAUAUACCGUGGAAGACGGAUAAGGUUUCGGUGAAAGCUUUCUCUGUCAACACCCUGUAUGAUCUGAACAUGGACCCUGAGGCAAAGGUGCCAAUAGAGUGUAGCAAACACGACUAUGCUUGCUGCCUCUUUUGCCGAAGUGGCCCAAUGUCCCUGGUGCUCCGCAUUGAUCGCUCGGGUUUUGUUCCUGGGGAAAAUAUUAUCGUUAAUGCUGAGUGUUCCAACAUGACCAAUGUCAAGAUUAACUACACAAAAGCAGUUGUGCAUCAGACCAUAACAUACCAUGCUGAAGGGAGAAAGAAGAAAGACCAUCGGAAGGUUGCUGAGCUCAAGCGCUUGGAAAUUCCACCUGGAGAAGAUGAUAACUGGAACAACGUUGAGAUGUUGAUUCCAGCACUGCCUCCCUCUCACCUACAGUUCUGCAACCUGAUUGACAUUGAUUACGAACUGAAGUUUGAAAUGUCCCCAUCUGGCUGCCACAUGGACCUAGAACACACAGCUCCUGUAAAGAUUGGCUCCAUACCUCUAGUGCAAUACUUUAGCAACUUUGUUCAAGGACCACCCACUAACUCAGCCCAACUCACGAAUCUGGCUUCAGUUCAGCCUCCAGUGCCUGCUUAUGCCCCUCCUGGACAGCCCCCAUUGCCAAAUUAUUCUCCAGCACCAGGACAGCACCCAGGGGUUGGCUGUGCUGCUAUACCAGGUCAACAGCCAAUGCCAGGUCAACCUCCGAUGAUGAAUCCCCCUAUAGUACCAUAUCAGCCUCCAAUUCCAGGUCAAGAACCUAUGCCUGGUCAACCACCAGUGCCAGGGGAAUCACAAAUGCCAGGUCAGCCUCCAGUGCCUGGUACUGGGCCAGGUCAGUCUCCAGUGUUGGGCUUUGCUCCAUCCAUACCAGGUCAGCAAGCAGUCCAGAUGCCCUCCAACAAUCCAGCCCAGCCUAGCAUAGCAGUGUCCAAUGUGGAUCAGAAUACUUCACCAUACAACCCUAACUUCCAGCCAGCAUCUUACCCCAUACCAGGGUCACCAAGAUUUCCAGGAGUCCUACAUUAUCCUCAAAUGCCCUUACCAACAUACAACCAGUGUAUGUUUGGAACGACCAGCAUUGCGGAGAUUGAUAGUGAUGUUGAUGAUGGCCAGAAUCAUAAUGAAAUUGGAUUUGCACCUCAUUAUAUAUCGUAUAGUCUUGUAAACUCCAAGAGGCUCCAGUCAGCUGCUUCUGUGGGUGAUACCGGAGGAGGCAUGGAUGGCAUAACCAGUGGAGUGAGUGACCUACAUAUUCGUCGUGAUAGUGGGAGCAGUGGUUCUAGUGGAGACCAUUACCGUGGAGGUUACCAGGCACAUAUCUGACUUCAGAAGAACACGAUAAGGGAAUAGCAUUCCUUUCUUUGGGAGUAUGUAAGUGCAGCAUGUAAAAGGAGACCAGUUAUGGUUCUUUUUGAAAAAAACAAAAAAACAAUAGAAACUUUUAACACAGAUGAAUGCUCUAACAGAAUGAAAAUUUAUUAAUAUAGGUACAAAUAUCAUUGAAUAUAACUUAACCCCCAAAGUAUAUGUGUGGAGUUUUUAAAACUGAAAUUGAUUUUCUGUAUCAGAACACGGAUCAGAAAGCUGUGCAUCAGGAAGGCAUAUAGUGAAGGUCAUGAUUCAAUAUUUAUUUUAUUUUAGGAAAAAAUGUUUGUCACUUAAAGCUGAACAGAUAAUGGAGAUUCAGCCAUAGAAACACUGAGACAAUCCUUCACAUGUUUUCUUUUUGGGUUGCCAUAUGGAACUACAGUAAUUAUAUUAUUUUUUUCUCUUUUUCUGACCAUUUUGAUUAGAUUAGUAUGUAUAAUACUUUUACAAGUAUUAUACAGUUUAUUCAUUGUUUUUAUUAGAUACGGAAUAUUGAUCUAAUGAUGUAAUUGCAUUUUACCACAGCCAAUAUUAAUUUGAUUAUAAUAUAUGAAUUAAUUUCAUUGAUAAAACAAAUAUAUUUUGUACUGAGUGUAUACCUUAAUAUGGUACACAAACUGACUAUGUAACGGGAAUGGAAAAUAGAUUCCUUUUUUAGAUCUAAAUUUUCAACAUUCCUUGGCUGAAUGCUUUCCUCCAUGCUUAAGUAAUUUGCAUAAAGUAAUAAAGCUGCAUAGUAUAACAUUAUGGGAUAUAUUCUUUGUUGUAUCUUAAGUAGUUUUGUACUUUGGGGGUUGAUUCAUUAGCUGUUGAGAAGAGAUAUUUGCAUCCUUCAAAGUGAAAAGAAAGUAAAAAGCCUUAGUAGGAAAUAAUAAUCUUUUUACGUACAGAUUUAGGAUUUGUUUUAAAGUAACCCCGUGAUGGCUGGGAGAAGAUAAACCAUCCCCAGGUGUGUCCUCAAUGGUUAAGACAAGAUUAGAGAUCAAUAUUUGCAUAUAUCAUGUGUGUGACUGCAGAUUUUUGUAUAUUUUCAUGGCUUGUCUCAUGGUCACUGGCAGUGAAUAAAACAUUACUUAUCAUUUCUUAUUUAUAUUUUGCACUUGUUACUUGUUUAUAUUUAUAUCAUUCACAGAAUUCUUUUUAAUUUAUGUGUAAACUAUCCCUUCAACCAAGACUGAUAAGUAAUAAUAGUUUUUAUUUCUUUUUUACAUUCAUUACAAUACAAUAGUAUUGAUCAAAAAAUCUUGGGGAGGUAAAGUUCUUCAGGAUCCAGUCACAGAUUGCAGUGAAGUCAUACUCUUGCCAUACCUACAAUACUAAGGCUAAUGUGCACCUGUGUAAUUUUUAAUGAGAUAAAGAGCAGCUGCUCACCGCCACAGCAUGAGGCAUCAUCUGCAUGAUAGCUUAGGGGAUGCACCACUCAUUGUCCACCAUCAAGAGCAUCACUCUAACUCAGACUCAGACAGCGAGAGACCAGCAGAGGCAGCACUCACUAAAGAUACUGGCUUCAAUACCAAGGACACUGAGACCAACACCAAUGACAGUGAUAAAGAUACUGAUGCCAACAAGGAUACUGGCAACAAUACUAGGGAUGGUGAUGCCAAGGAGGAGGAACCUAAGACUGAGGAGAAAGUAGAAGAUGCUGCAGAACCUGAGGAGAGCAAAGAAUAAUGUCAUGGAGAAUUGUUAUCCCAGGCAGUACCAGCAGGAGGCACUCUUGAUGCUCCUGCUUGUUCUUAAAGAGACAUUAUCCUUUUUUUGUAUGCUCAGUCAUCUCACAAGGUGCACCAUUUUCUGCCUUCUGGUCUAGUUUGAUGUCCAGCCACUUUGUAAAACACUUCAUCUCAAACAAACAUGAUAGCUUCCUCUUUAUUGGUGUCAUAAAUCCUGAUUUUAUAUACCCACACUUUCCAUUUAUAGUAGACAAUAUUGGCUCAUAGAUGUAGCUGGGAAGAAUUUGUUGUAGGGUAAUGGUAAUGACUUUGAGUCUGCUGCAGGUGUUUAUGAGGCACCUGAAUGGAAUCAUUACAUUCUACUGACUGUGCCUAGGUUUUCUUAGCCCUGGAUGAAGACUUCAUGGUAAAAUACUGAUGAUGUAGUGUCAUUGAGGUGUAGUAGCACAGGUGUGGCUGGCAGUCAAGAUAAGUUGCAAUAUGUUCAUGCACACAGUGAAAGUCUACUCUAAGUAUGGCUUAAGGAGAAUGGAAUAUACAUGCUUAUCUACAGUUGACAAUGUGACUAUUCCUUUACCUUGGUGAGCAAUAUAUUUUUUUUCUCUCCAAGAAGAAGCAUAGAAGCAAAAGCUUAACAGCACAUGCAAAAGUGAUAUCCAUAUGCUUUAAUGAAAUAUCCUAAUUUAAUAAACCUGGGUUUUACU